UACGGGAGGCAGCAGUGGGGAAUAUUGCACAAUGGGCGCAAGCCUGAUGCAGCCAUGCCGCGUGUAUGAAGAAGGCCUUCGGGUUGUAAAGUACUUUCAGCGGGGAGGAAGGCGAUGCGGUUAAUAACCGCGUCGAUUGACGUUACCCGCAGAAGAAGCACCGGCUAACUCCGUGCCAGCAGCCGCGGUAAUACGGAGGGUGCAAGCGUUAAUCGGAAUUACUGGGCGUAAAGCGCACGCAGGCGGUCUGUUAAGUCAGAUGUGAAAUCCCCGGGCUUAACCUGGGAACUGCAUUUUGAACUGGCAGGCUUGAGUCUUGUAGAGGGGGUAGAAUUCCAGGUGUAGCGGUGAAAUGCGUAGAGAUCUGGAGGAAUACCGGUGGCGAAGGCGGCCCCUGGGACAAAGCUGACGCUCAGGUGCGAAAGCGUGGGGAGCAAACGAGGAUUAGAUACC
Molecule: ribosomal RNA, 453 nt
Filed under: uncultured bacterium
Lineage: Bacteria
Description: bacterial SSU rRNA
Rfam family: Bacterial small subunit ribosomal RNA
Source: RNAcentral